RNAcentral lists this ribosomal RNA (951 nucleotides) under uncultured bacterium. RNAcentral's name for it is "bacterial SSU rRNA". It matches the Rfam family "Bacterial small subunit ribosomal RNA", at positions 57 to 989 of the family's 1533-position model. The record is from RNAcentral.
GCAGUCGAGCGAAUGGAUUAAGAGCUUGCUCUUAUGAAGUUAGCGGCGGACGGGUGAGUAACACGUGGGUAACCUGCCCAUAAGACUGGGAUAACUCCGGGAAACCGGGGCUAAUACCGGAUAACAUUUUGAACCGCAUGGUUCGAAAUUGAAAGGCGGCUUCGGCUGUCACUUAUGGAUGGACCCGCGUCGCAUUAGCUAGUUGGUGAGGUAACGGCUCACCAAGGCAACGAUGCGUAGCCGACCUGAGAGGGUGAUCGGCCACACUGGGACUGAGACACGGCCCAGACUCCUACGGGAGGCAGCAGUAGGGAAUCUUCCGCAAUGGACGAAAGUCUGACGGAGCAACGCCGCGUGAGUGAUGAAGGCUUUCGGGUCGUAAAACUCUGUUGUUAGGGAAGAACAAGUGCUAGUUGAAUAAGCUGGCACCUUGACGGUACCUAACCAGAAAGCCACGGCUAACUACGUGCCAGCAGCCGCGGUAAUACGUAGGUGGCAAGCGUUAUCCGGAAUUAUUGGGCGUAAAGCGCGCGCAGGUGGUUUCUUAAGUCUGAUGUGAAAGCCCACGGCUCAACCGUGGAGGGUCAUUGGAAACUGGGAGACUUGAGUGCAGAAGAGGAAAGUGGAAUUCCAUGUGUAGCGGUGAAAUGCGUAAAGAUAUGGAGGAACACCAGUGGCGAAGGCGACUUUCUGGUCUGUAACUGACACUGAGGCGCGAAAGCGUGGGGAGCAAACAGGAUUAAAUACCCUGGUAGUCCACGCCGUAAACGAUGAGUGCUAACUGUUAGAGGGUUUCCUCCCUUUAUUGCUGAAGUUAACGCAUUAAGCACUCCGCCGGCGGAGUACGGCCGCGAGGCUGGAACUCCAAUGAAUUGAAAGGGGCGCGCACCAGCGCUGCAGCAUGUGCUUUAAUUCAAAUCAACGCGACGACCAUACCUAGUCGUGGCGUCG